Molecule: ribosomal RNA, 253 nt
Filed under: uncultured bacterium
Lineage: Bacteria
Description: partial 16S ribosomal RNA
Rfam family: Bacterial small subunit ribosomal RNA
Source: RNAcentral
UACGGAGGGUGCAAGCGUUAUCCGGAUUCACUGGGUUUAAAGGGUGCGUAGGCGGGUAAGUAAGUCCGUGGUGAAAUCUCUGAGCUUAACUCAGAAACUGCCGUGGAUACUAUUUGCCUUGAAUAUUGUGGAGGUGAGCGGAAUAUGUCAUGUAGCGGUGAAAUGCUUAGAUAUGACAUAGAACACCAAUUGCGAAGGCAGCUCACGACACAAUCAUUGACGCUGAGGCACGAGAGCGUGGGGAUCAAACAGG